UACGUAGGUGGCAAGCGUUGUCCGGAAUUACUGGGCGUAAAGGGUGCGUAGGCGGUCCUUUAAGUGGGAUGUGAAAUCCCUGGGCUUAACCCAGGAACUGCAUUCCAAACUGGAGGACUAGAGUGCAGGAGAGGAAAGCGGUAUUCCCAGUGUAGCGGUGAAAUGCGUAGAGAUUGGGAGGAACACCAGUAGCGAAGGCGGCUUUCUGGAAUGUAACUGACGCUGAGGCACGAAAGCGUGGGGAGCAAACAGG
This 253-nucleotide ribosomal RNA is filed under the name uncultured bacterium. RNAcentral's name for it is "partial 16S ribosomal RNA". It matches the Rfam family "Bacterial small subunit ribosomal RNA", at positions 524 to 776 of the family's 1533-position model. RNAcentral also lists the same sequence under 1 other name. The record is from RNAcentral.